This 328-nucleotide ribosomal RNA is filed under the name uncultured bacterium. Its description in RNAcentral is "bacterial SSU rRNA". It matches the Rfam family "Bacterial small subunit ribosomal RNA", at positions 8 to 334 of the family's 1533-position model. The record is from RNAcentral.
AGGGUUUGAUUCUGGCUCAGGAUGAACGCUGACAGAAUGCUUAACACAUGCAAGUCAACUUGAAUUUGGGUUUUUAACUUAGGUUUGGGUGGCGGACGGGUGAGUAACGCGUAAAGAACUUGCCUCACAGUUAGGGACAACAUUUGGAAACGAAUGCUAAUACCUAAUAUUAUGAUAAUAGGGCAUCCUAUAAUUAUGAAAGCUAUAAGCGCUGUGAGAGAGCUUUGCGUCCCAUUAGCUAGUUGGAGAGGUAACGGCUCACCAAGGCGAUGAUGGGUAGCCGGCCUGAGAGGGUGAUCGGCCACAAGGGGACUGAGACACGGCCCUU